AUUGAACGCUGGCGGCAUGCCUUACACAUGCAAGUCGAACGGCAGCACGGGGCAACCUGGUGGCGAGUGGCGAACGGGUGAGUAAUGCAUCGGAACGUUGCCAGUUGAGUGGGGGAUAACGGUAGCGAAAGUUGCGCUAAUACCGCAUAUUCUGUGAGCAGGGAAAGCAGGGGACCGCAAGGCCUUGCGCUCUUUGAGCGGCCGGUGUCAGAUUAGCUAGUUGGUGAGGUAACGGCUUACCAAGGCGACGAUCUGUAGCGGGUCUGAGAGGAUGAUCCGCCACACUGGAACUGAGACACGGUCCAGACUCCUACGGAGGCAGCAGUGGGGAAUUUUGGACAAUGGGCGGCAA
This 352-nucleotide ribosomal RNA is filed under the name uncultured bacterium. Its description in RNAcentral is "bacterial SSU rRNA". It matches the Rfam family "Bacterial small subunit ribosomal RNA", at positions 30 to 380 of the family's 1533-position model. The record is from RNAcentral.